Molecule: long non-coding RNA, 1650 nt
Filed under: Populus tremula
Lineage: Eukaryota; Viridiplantae; Streptophyta; Magnoliopsida; Malpighiales; Salicaceae
Description: long non-coding RNA (PTRE_LNC000240)
Source: RNAcentral
UCAUGCCAGCUUGGUGUGUAUGAGUGCCACUUAUUGUACGCCAGGUCUGCAGCUGCAAAUAAAACAAUUUUGCCAAGGGAAUGGUCGUGUACGUUCUGUUGAAAGAAGACGAAGGGGCCAUUUAAGGGCUGGGAUUUUACCUCUAAUACAGACGGCUAGGAUGAGAGGGGUUGGGGCUGUUCUCCAAGCUUGCUUGGCUAUAUAAGCAAGCUAAGAACAAACAGAAAAGGAGGAAGAGAGGAAGACAAAGAGCGAGCAUAGAAAAAAAAACAGAAGAGAAAAUCAUCUCCAAUCUAUCUUGUAUUGUCAAAAAGAGUUCACCAAACCUACGGGUUUGCUAGAAGCUCUUAACGGCAAAAAGAGGAAGGUUUUCUUUAGUUGUCAAAGGCAGAGAAGCAAAGGUUUUCACCCCUGUCUGCACCGCAUUUUCUACAGUCAGCAUACGAAGAUGUUCAGUCUUUUCAUUUGAACAAAAGGUUUGUGCUUGCCCACUUUUACUUCCAUGAUUUUUUUUUUGAUCGUUUGUUGACGUUAAAGCUGUGUUUUUUUUUUUCUUGACCUGUUAUUGUGAGAGACUGCGAACUUGAAGGAUCCUCAUUAUCCUUCCAUUCCUUUGUCUGAAUGUCUGCGUUAGAAUGUUGCGUAGGAUGAGUUUUGGCUCCUAAAUGAAACUCUGUCUAGAUGGGAAAGAGAAAACGAGAGAGGGUUAUCUUGCAUUUGAGGAGAUACUUUGGCUGGUUCUGGAGUAUGUCUCUCAUUUCGCUGCUUUGAAAGUGAAUAGUUGGCCAUUUGAUUUGCUGGCUCUGGUUUUAGUGUCUUUGAUAUACACUGUAUAAAGGUACCCUCUUUAAGUUCUUUCCUUCUCGUAUGAAACCACCAUGGCAGUGCUAGGGAUUAGAAAAAAGGUGGGCUAGAGCAACACUUUAUGUGGUACCCUUGGUUUUCAAAUGUUUAGCUUUCAGAAGUAAAUGACUUGCUCCUCUUUGUCGUAAAUGAUGGGUCAUGCUAUGUUUAGGAUUUGAGUCGAAAGGCUGGUUUAGCCUUCCAGUUCCGAUGGCUGUAAGAGACCGUAGGUUUUAAAGGGGUUGUCGCCAUCCCUGCCUUCCUUUGGUUUGAGCGUCUCUAUGCAACUGGAAUAUUGCAGGGGAAUAGUUAUGGCUUAUAGGUGCAUAAGGAAGAGUAGAAAACGUGAGGGAAAUUCCUUUUUCAGGCAAGGUGAUUAAUUUUCUUUGCAGACCGUUAGGUCACGUUUUCCCUUUACAAGAUAGCUGGCCGCUGGCUUUUUUUAGCUUUGUCUUUAAUACAUGGUAUAAAAGCAUACUCCCUCAGGUUUCUUUAUUUUCACAAGCAUGACAGAUUUAAUUAGGAUACCAGAGGAUGGGUUGUGAGGCACCGAAACUAGCAUAGGAUGUUGAGUUCAAAAACAUUACUUUUGUAGUUUGGAGUUCUGCUACUAAUCUUCAUGGAAUUUUGGAGUUCAAAAUGUUACUACCACUACACCUAAAUGCAAAAUGUUACAUUUUUAGGAUAAUAGCGAUUAAUCAUUUUUUAGUUCAAAAAUGGUAGUUUCAGGACUUUACCCCAUGUGACAGUUUGUUCUUAUAAAUUUGUUUUGCUAACUUCGGGCUGGAUGUUUGCAUUUAAUUGUUG